UACGAAGGGGGCUAGCGUUGUUCGGAAUCACUGGGCGUAAAGGGCGCGUAGGCGGCUUUAUAAGUCGGGUGUGAAAGCCCCGGGCUCAACCUGGGAAUUGCAUUCGAGACUGAAUAGCUAGGGUGCGGUAGAGGGAAGCGGAAUUUCCGGUGUAGCGGUGAAAUGCGUAGAUAUCGGAAGGAACAUCAGUGGCGAAAGCGGCUUCCUGGACCAGCACCGACGUUCAGGCACGAAAGCGUGGGGAGCAAACAGG
This 253-nucleotide ribosomal RNA is filed under the name uncultured bacterium. Its description in RNAcentral is "partial 16S ribosomal RNA". It matches the Rfam family "Bacterial small subunit ribosomal RNA", at positions 524 to 776 of the family's 1533-position model. The record is from RNAcentral.